CCACGGGACGCAGCAGUGAGGAAUAUUGCACAAUGGGGGGAACCCUGAUGCAGCAACGCCGCGUGGAGGAUGACGCAUUUCGGUGUGUAAACUCCUUUUAUAUGUCAAGAAAAUGACGGUAGCAUAUGAAUAAGCACCGGCUAACUCCGUGCCAGCAGCCGCGGUAAUACGGAGGGUGCAAGCGUUACUCGGAAUCACUGGGCGUAAAGGACGCGUAGGCGGGUUGGAAAGUCAGGUGUGAAAUCCUACAGCUUAACUGUAGAACUGCACUUGAAACUUCUAAUCUAGAGUAUGGGAGGGGGAGAUGGAAUUAGUGGUGUAGGGGUAAAAUCCGUAGAUAUCACUAGGAAUACCUAAAGCGAAGGCGAUCUCCUGGAACAUUACUGUCGCUAAGGCGUGAAAGCGUGGGGAGCAAACAGGAUUAGAUACCCGGGUAGUC
This 439-nucleotide ribosomal RNA is filed under the name uncultured bacterium. Its description in RNAcentral is "partial 16S ribosomal RNA". It matches the Rfam family "Bacterial small subunit ribosomal RNA", at positions 339 to 795 of the family's 1533-position model. The record is from RNAcentral.